UACAGAGGUCUCAAGCGUUGUUCGGAUUCAUUGGGCGUAAAGGGUGUGUAGGUGGCGCGCUAAGUCGGGUGUGAAAUUUCGGAGCUUAACUCCGAAACUGCAUUCGAUACUGGCGUGCUUGAGGACUGGAGAGGAGACUGGAAUUCAUGGUGUAGCAGUGAAAUGCGUAGAGAUCAUGAGGAAGACCAGUGGCGAAGGCGGGUCACUGGCCCGGUACUGACGCUGAGGUGCGAAAGCGUGGGGAGCAAACAGG
This 253-nucleotide ribosomal RNA is filed under the name uncultured bacterium. Its description in RNAcentral is "partial 16S ribosomal RNA". It matches the Rfam family "Bacterial small subunit ribosomal RNA", at positions 524 to 776 of the family's 1533-position model. The record is from RNAcentral.